UACGUAGGGUCCGAGCGUUGUCCGGAAUUAUUGGGCGUAAAGAGCUCGUAGGCGGUGUGUCACGUCGGCCGUGAAAACCUGCAGCUUAACUGUGGGCGUGCGGUCGAUACGGGCAUCACUGGAGUUCGGCAGGGGAGACUGGAAUUCCUGGUGUAGCGGUGAAAUGCGCAGAUAUCAGGAGGAACACCAAUGGCGAAGGCAGAUCUCUGGGCCGUAACUGACGCUGAGGAGCGAAAGCAUGGGGAGCGAACAGG
This 254-nucleotide ribosomal RNA is filed under the name uncultured bacterium. RNAcentral describes it as "partial 16S ribosomal RNA". It matches the Rfam family "Bacterial small subunit ribosomal RNA", at positions 524 to 776 of the family's 1533-position model. The record is from RNAcentral.